AGCGAGGUAACUAAGAGAUUAACAUUUUAUUUAGUUCCCAUAAAUUCUACCAUACAUCAUUGAAACUAGGACAUUCUUAUUCUAUUACAAGUUAGCCAAAGCUUGUCAUUAUUUAUCUCUGUCCAAAUGUUCUCCCUUUAUAGCAAGUCAAGAGCUUAUUCUUAUCAUCUGUCCUAGAUUGAUGCAGGCCUCCAUCAGAGAGACUUCCUCGCUUUGGUGCAGCUCUUUGAGCAUGUAGACAAGCAGGCCCCCAUAUCAUUUCCCUCUGUCAUCAAGCAUCAAAGCUAAUUAGAGAUGCAGCUGGAUAUAAUCUAUGCUUAACGAGCAAGUGGCUCAUAAUAGAAUCUAUAAUACCACCCAAGGGAGGAUACCAGAUAAUAUAAUUUCGUUCUCACCUGGAUCAAGUUGGCUACAGGAGGACUUGGCACACGCAGAGAUACAACCGGAAUCAGACUUAGCUGCAGAAUGCUGACCAUCACAUUUUUGAUGGCACUUUUCUACGCAAAACGGGAAUGGGUUUCGAAAGAAAAUGCAUUCGUUAAAGCAUUGGUCGAAGCAUUGUGAUGCCGAGCUUUGUCCAACAAGCAGGACUAGAAUGGUAGCUACUGCGAAGAUCGCCUUGACACCAUUAUACUCCAUGACUAAUAGCCUAUGAGAAAUCAGCAGGAUGAAGCCUAACUCUGGGGAAAAAAAGCAAUUUCUGAAGGCCCUAUUUAUAGAGGUUUUC
Molecule: long non-coding RNA, 727 nt
Filed under: Phoenix dactylifera (date palm)
Lineage: Eukaryota; Viridiplantae; Streptophyta; Magnoliopsida; Arecales; Arecaceae
Description: long non-coding RNA (PDAC_LNC005796)
Source: RNAcentral